RNAcentral lists this unclassified non-coding RNA (1071 nucleotides) under Hevea brasiliensis (rubber tree). The record is from RNAcentral. Lineage: Eukaryota; Viridiplantae; Streptophyta; Magnoliopsida; Malpighiales; Euphorbiaceae.
UUUUAGAUUUUGAGUUCUUUCCUCUUUUUUCCUUCAAAUCUGCAAGAGAGGUUUAUCAGCAAAUUAGAUAACGCAAAAGAGGAAGUUGGCCAAGUCAUUGAGACGAUGAAAUCAACUGAAAAGCUUAUUGAAAAAGAUUAUAGAGAGAGGGCGUCCGGCUUUAGGGGUAUUUUUGUCCUUUAGCCUCUGGAUUAUCCAGCAGAGAAAGAUUUGGUAUUCCUUACUCACUUGCGUCCGUCACAUUCUUCUCUACAAUUGAGUUUUAAAAACACGUUUAUACCCUCAUCCUUCAAAAAAUUUUCAGGGCCAUUGAUUAUCCUCCAUUCUUUCUUUCUUGGUUUUUUGUUGUUAAGAAUAUUAAUGAAUUAAAGGGAAAACCUGAGCGACCUGCGAGAUUUUAAUAAUAUCAGACGCCCUUUAUCAUAUUUACUGUGUAAUUAGUUUAAUCUAAGCAAUGAUAAGAUGGUUUUAUUAGUUUUUGAGCUGACUUUAACAUAUUUACUUGGCGAAUGGAUCUUUUAGUUUUUGAGCUGAUCUGGUUGUUCCUUUAUAAUCGUAGAUGGGAGGAUGGAGCUGGUUAUGAAUUACCAUGCAAAUAUAUGUCAUUUUUAUUCAACAAGAAGGCUUUAUUGAUUAAUUAUAUAGUUUCUUGAGAGCUGUUUUAUAUUCAUCUCUUCGCAAAAAGCUGAAUAAGCAAAUCCUUCUUUUUAGUUGUGUUCAGCUUAUAUUUAUACUGGGAAAUCUUUACCAUGUGAGAGCGAAAUCUUUAUUCUCUAUUCACGGUGUUUUGCUCCGCAUUGCUGUUUCAUAUUUUUUGAGCAUUAUAUUAUCCGCUCUUUAGCCUUACUUACUAGUGUGAUUUAGCAAAUCUGAAACGUGUUCUCAACGAGAAUGAAUGCUGUCAAAAUCAAGACAGGAGGUGGAGCAGUGGUUUGGUUUGAAUGAUUGUAUUGGAUAUGCAUUGAUUCGAUAUCAAUCUCUCUGAUUUUUGGUUUUCGUAUAGGCUUUUUGCUCACUGCUUAUGUCACCUCGCUUCUCAAUAUCACUUUGACAUGUCUGCCUUUGGUGCAG